Molecule: ribosomal RNA, 253 nt
Filed under: uncultured bacterium
Lineage: Bacteria
Description: partial 16S ribosomal RNA
Rfam family: Bacterial small subunit ribosomal RNA
Source: RNAcentral
UACAGAGGGGGCAAGCGUUGUUCGGAAUUACUGGGCGUAAAGGGCGCGUAGGCGGCCCGCUAAGUCGAACGUGAAAUCCCCGGGCUCAACCCGGGAACUGCGUCCGAUACUGGUGGGCUUGAAUCCGGGAGAGGGAUGCGGAAUUCCAGGUGUAGCGGUGAAAUGCGUAGAUAUCUGGAGGAACACCGGUGGCGAAGGCGGCAUCCUGGACCGGUUCUGACGCUGAGGCGCGAAAGCGUGGGUAGCAAACAGG